GACGAACGCUGGCGGCGUGCCUAAUACAUGCAAGUAGAAUGCUGAAGGAGGAGCUUGCUUCUCUGGAUGAGUUGCGAACGGGUGAGUAACGCGUAGGUAACCUGCCUGGUAGCGGGGGAUAACUAUUGGAAACGAUAGCUAAUACCGCAUAAUAGCAGUUGUUGCAUGACAACUGUUUGAAAGGUGCAAUUGCACCACUACCAGAUGGACCUGCGUUGUAUUAGCUAGUUGGUGGGGUAACGGCUCACCAAGGCGACGAUACAUAGCCGACCUGAGAGGGUGAUCGGCCACACUGGGACUGAGACACGGCCCAGACUCCUACGGGAGGCAGCAGUAGGGAAUCUUCGGCAAUGGACGGAAGUCUGACCGAGCAACGCCGCGUGAGUGAAGAAGGGUUUCGGAUCGGAAAGCUCUGUUGUAAGAGAAGAACGAGUGUGAGAGUGGAAAGUUCACACUGUGACGGUAUCUUACCAGAAAGGGACGGCUAACUACGUG
RNAcentral lists this ribosomal RNA (495 nucleotides) under uncultured bacterium. Its description in RNAcentral is "partial 16S ribosomal RNA". It matches the Rfam family "Bacterial small subunit ribosomal RNA", at positions 28 to 507 of the family's 1533-position model. The record is from RNAcentral.